CCCGGCGGAAGAAGGGGGCUCUCCAAGCACACCUGGCAGCCUGCAGCCUUUAGGUUUCUUCCCUGUUCCCUCUGCUGCCGACUUUUCUUUCACUUUCACUUAGAGCAAGAUGGCAGCCCGCGUCCCUGUGUGAAGCCGUCUGCAGCAGCUGCCAGAGCCCUGCUUGCUGUUUCCUUUCUCACCACCCACCUCACCCGGAAAUCCCCUGUCUCGAAAAGGCACUCUGUCACGUGUACACAGGAAAGGGCCCUGACAAGAGGAUGGGACUGCAGUUGUGGCUGCCAGAGUCUUGCUUUGUCGCCCAGGUUGGAGUGCAGUGGCACGAUCUCGGCUCAGUGCAACCUCCGCCUCCUGAGUUCAAGUGAUUCUCCUGCCUCAGCCUCCCUAGUAGCUGGGAUUACAGGACAAGGAGAGGGACAAAUUCCUUCUUGGCAUCCUUAUGGCCCUGUGACCUGCUAAUGAAUGCUGACUCUGAGUUGCUACUAGAAUUUGGUUUCCUUGUGGCUUCCCAGGAAUUGGUCUCACUCUGCUCACUCUGUCUCCCAAGCUGGAGUGCAGUGGUACAGUCACGGCUCACUGCAGCCUCCACUUCCUGGACUCAAGUGAUCUUCUCACUUCAGCCUUCUGAGUAGCUGGGACUACAGCCCCCUCUGCAGCUCUUCAUGGGGGUCCACUCAAGUCAGAAGCCACAUUUGGGUGUGAUUCAGAGAGCUGUUUAUGCAAAACCAGCUUUGUCACCAUCAGGCAAGGCACCUGAAUUCCCACCGCAGAGAGUGUUGUGGCCGUGAGGACUUUUCUGUCACCAGCCAUUUCCAGGUAGACCCAGUGUAAUCACAAGCAUCCUUGUAAGUGGCAAAGAGGCAGAGGAGACAGCGCCAGAGAGGCAGCUGCAUGAGAAGGAUCAAGAUGUUGCUGACUUUGAAGUUGGAAGAAGAAGGCCAUGAGCCUCAGUAUGUGGGCGGCUUCUAGAAGCUGGAAGGGGCAAGGAGAUGGAUUUGACCCUUCAGCCUCCAGGGGCAGCUGUACCUGCCAUCACUGAUUGUAGCCUGGUGAGGCCUGUUUUAGACUUCUGACCUGUAGAGCUGUAACAUAAUACAUUUGGGUUGUUUUCAACCACUAAGUUUGUGGUAAUUUGUUGUAGCAGCUGUAGAAAAUGAAUACAUAUGAAUCCUCUGGCAUUUGUUUGAGAUUUGCUCUAUGGCCUAGUAUGUGGUUGUAAAUGUUCCAUCUGUGCCUGAAAAAAUGUAUAUUUCUAAUUCAGUAGUCUCUGCUUUUUUUUUUUAUUUUGUACCCCAUCAAUAAAAUGAUUUUCAGCAUGUAUCCCCAAAUAAACAAUAUUUUAUUUAUUGAUUGAUUGAUAAACAGACAUGUUUAAUGAUAGCUUGCUUUUCACAGAGGUGACUUCGGAGACUUCUAAUCUAUAAUCCAGGAGUAUAUAACCAUG
This 1444-nucleotide long non-coding RNA is filed under the name Homo sapiens (human). Its description in RNAcentral is "HSALNT0184826". The record is from RNAcentral. Lineage: Eukaryota; Metazoa; Chordata; Mammalia; Primates; Hominidae.